This 407-nucleotide ribosomal RNA is filed under the name uncultured prokaryote. RNAcentral's name for it is "bacterial SSU rRNA". It matches the Rfam family "Bacterial small subunit ribosomal RNA", at positions 355 to 776 of the family's 1533-position model. The record is from RNAcentral.
UAGGGAAUAUUGGGCAAUGGGCGCAAGCCUGACCCAGCAACGCCGCGUGAGGGAAGAAGGUUUUCGGAUUGUAAACCUCUGUCCUUGGUGACGAAACAAAUGACGGUAGCCAAGGAGGAAGCCCCGGCUAACUACGUGCCAGCAGCCGCGGUAAUACGUAGGGGGCGAGCGUUGUCCGGAAUUACUGGGCGUAAAGGGUGUGUAGGCGGGAGCACAAGUCAGAUGUGAAAUACCGGGGCUUAACCCCGGGGCUGCAUCUGAAACUGUGAUUCUUGAGUGUCGGAGAGGAAAGUGGAAUUCCCAGUGUAGCGGUGAAAUGCGUAGAUAUUGGGAGGAACACCAGUGGCGAAGGCGACUUUCUGGACGAUAACUGACGCUGAGGCGCGAAAGCGUGGGGAGCAAACAGG